RNAcentral lists this ribosomal RNA (463 nucleotides) under uncultured bacterium. RNAcentral describes it as "bacterial SSU rRNA". It matches the Rfam family "Bacterial small subunit ribosomal RNA", at positions 331 to 792 of the family's 1533-position model. The record is from RNAcentral.
CCAGACUCCUACGGGAGGCAGCAGUGAGGAAUAUUGGUCAAUGGCCGAGAGGCUGAAUCAGCCAAGUCGCGUGAGGGAUGACGGCCCUACGGGUUGUAAACCUCUUUUGCCGGGGAGCAAAGAGCGGGACGCGUCCCGCCUCGAGAGUACCCGGAGAAAAAGCAUCGGCUAACUCCGUGCCAGCAGCCGCGGUAAUACGGAGGAUGCGAGCGUUAUCCGGAUUUAUUGGGUUUAAAGGGUGCGCAGGCGGAGGCGAAGGUGGGGGGUAAAUUGGAGGGCCCCACCCUCUCCCCGCCGUUGAAACUGCGUUUCUUGAGUGGGCGAGAAGUACGCGGAAUGCGUGGUGUAGCGGUGAAAUGCAUAGAUAUCACGCAGAACGCCGAUUGCGAAGGCAGCUUACCGGCGCUCAACUGACGCUGAGGCACGAAAGUGCGGGUAUCGAACAGGAUUAGAUACCCCGGUA